GACGAACGCUGGCGGCGUGCCUAAUACAUGCAAGUAGAACGCUGAAGGAGGAGCUUGCUUCUCUGGAUGAGUUGCGAACGGGUGAGUAACGCGUAGGUAACCUGCCUGGUAGCGGGGGAUAACUAUUGGAAACGAUAGCUAAUACCGCAUAAGAGUAGAUGUUGCAUGACAUUUGCUUAAAAGGUGCACUUGCAUCACUACCAGAUGGACCUGCGUUGUAUUAGCUAGUUGGUGAGGUAACGGCUCACCAAGGCGACGAUACAUAGCCGACCUGAGAGGGUGAUCGGCCACACUGGGACUGAGACACGGCCCAGACUCCUACGGGAGGCAGCAGUAGGGAAUCUUCGGCAAUGGACGGAAGUCUGACCGAGCAACGCCGCGUGAGUGAAGAAGGUUUUCGGAUCGUAAAGCUCCGUUGUAAGAGAAGAACGAGUGUGAGAGUGGAA
Molecule: ribosomal RNA, 446 nt
Filed under: Streptococcus mitis
Lineage: Bacteria; Bacillati; Bacillota; Bacilli; Lactobacillales; Streptococcaceae
Description: bacterial SSU rRNA
Rfam family: Bacterial small subunit ribosomal RNA
Source: RNAcentral